ACGCUCGACACCUACGGGAGGCCGCAGUGGGGAAUAUUGCACAAUGGGGGAAACCCUGAUGCAGCGACGCCGCGUGAGCGAAGAAGUAUCUCGGUAUGUAAAGCUCUAUCAGCAGGGAAGAAGAUGACGGUACCUGACUAAGAAGCACCGGCUAAAUACGUGCCCGCAGCCGCGGUAAUCUGAGCGGGCUGGCAAGGC
Molecule: ribosomal RNA, 198 nt
Filed under: uncultured bacterium
Lineage: Bacteria
Description: partial 16S ribosomal RNA
Rfam family: Bacterial small subunit ribosomal RNA
Source: RNAcentral